AACGAACGCUGGCGGCGCGCUUAACACAUGCAAGUCGAACGAGAAGGCGUAGCAAUACGCUUGUACAGUGGCGAACGGGUGAGUAAUACGUGGGCGACCUACCCUCGAGUGGGGAAGUAACCCGCCCGAAAGGCGGGCUAAUGCCGCGUACGCUUCCAUCUUUAUGGAGGUGGAAGGAAAGCCGUGCCGUGGGCACGGCGCUCAAGGAUGGGCUCACGUCCUAUCAGCUUGUUGGUAGGGAACGGCCUACCAAGGCUCCGACGGGUAGCUGGUCUGAGAGGACGAUCAGCCACACUGGCACUGCGACACGGGCCAGACUCCUACGGGAGGCAGCAGUGAGGAAUAUUGCGCAAUGGGCGAAAGCCUGACGCAGCGA
Molecule: ribosomal RNA, 376 nt
Filed under: uncultured bacterium
Lineage: Bacteria
Description: bacterial SSU rRNA
Rfam family: Bacterial small subunit ribosomal RNA
Source: RNAcentral